Molecule: long non-coding RNA, 563 nt
Filed under: Rattus norvegicus (Norway rat)
Lineage: Eukaryota; Metazoa; Chordata; Mammalia; Rodentia; Muridae
Description: long non-coding RNA NONRATT033639
Source: RNAcentral
CACCACCACACCCUGUCAUACGAACUCUGCUUUUUAACUGGGGUCCUCAUGUUUGCAGGACAAGAUGGAGAACCAGGCCAUCUUCUCUGUCCCUAAUGAACCAUUUUGGGAGGAAACUAUGGAACUGUCCUAACUGUCUGUAACUAGGGUGACAGAGCAUGAGCCUGAAAAAAGGAAAAGAAAAAAAAGAGAAAGUGUUGCUCUCGUUCCAGCAAACGCACAUUGAGCUGGUUUGAAUGGCUAUCCUGCGAGCAUUGUCAUCAGCAGUCUCCUCACGUUCUUUGGUUUCGAUGUGAAUUACUUUUGAAGGAAGGCAUAUAUGCAAGUCAUCUGACCCAGGUUGUACGCGGGCUCCGCAGCAUAUGGCUGGGGGAAAGAACAUCGCAUCUUUUGUUCGCCUAGAACACCAGGUGACCUUGAAAUGCGAUCUUCCUGAUGCUACCUCCCAGGAGCUGAAAUUAUAGGCAAACACCACCAUUCCCAGUGUGAGUGGUGCCAGGCGUGGAAACCAGCGCUAUGGGCAUGCUCCAUCCAGUUCUUGCUUUAAACAUCUGUCACCCGUG